RNAcentral lists this ribosomal RNA (468 nucleotides) under uncultured bacterium. Its description in RNAcentral is "partial 16S ribosomal RNA". It matches the Rfam family "Bacterial small subunit ribosomal RNA", at positions 28 to 507 of the family's 1533-position model. The record is from RNAcentral.
GACGAACGCUGGCGGUGUGCUUAACACAUGCAAGUCGAACGGUAAGGCCCUUUCGGGGGUACACGAGUGGCGAACGGGUGAGUAACACGUGAGUAACCUGCCCUCAUCUCUGGGAUAACAGUCGGAAACGGUUGCUAAUACUGGAUAUGAGCUUGCAAGGCAUCUUGUGGGUUGGAAAGAUUUUUUUUGGUUGGGGAUGGACUCGCGGCCUAUCAGCUUGUUGGUGAGGUAGUGUCUCACCAAGGCUUCGACGGGUAGCCGGCCUGAGAGGGCGACCGGCCACAUUGGGACUGAGAUACGGCCCAAACUCCUACGGGAGGCAGCAGUGGGGAAUAUUGCACAAUGGACGGAAGUCUGAUGCAGCAACGCCGCGUGCGGGAUGACGGCCUUCGGGUUGUAAACCGCUUUCAAUUGUGACGAAGCUUUUUUGUGACGGUAGCAGUAGAAGAAGCACCGGCUAACUACGUG